This 431-nucleotide unclassified non-coding RNA is filed under the name plant metagenome. RNAcentral describes it as "partial contains 5.8S ribosomal RNA, internal transcribed spacer 2, and large subunit ribosomal RNA". The stretch from base 1 to 101 matches the Rfam family "5.8S ribosomal RNA", at positions 51 to 154 of the family's 154-position model. The record is from RNAcentral.
AACUGCGAUAAGUAGUGUGAAUUGCAUUUAGUGAAUCAUCGAAUCUUUGAACGCACCCUGCACUCACUGGUAUUCCGGUGAGUACGCCUGUUUCAGUAUCAUUGAAAACACACAAUCAAAACAUUUUCUUUGGUUUGAUUGGCUUUGGGUCUAUCAAAAAGUUUGGCUUGUUUCUUACAAGCCAAGCGGCCUGAAAUAUAUUGUCUGGCUAAUUGCAUCGUUGAUGAUCGCUAUUAGACUUUGGCUUUUUUAAAUGAACUGGAGGUUGAUUAACCAGUUUUAGCUUUAGUCAAAUGGUCAUUGUAAAAAAAAUCUCGACCUUGGCUAGGUGUUUAUAGCCGAAAAUUUUUUUUUUGGCUAUAACCGAAACCAAUAUAAUCACAUUUAGUUAUCGAUCUGAAAUCAGGUGGGACUACCCGCUGAACUUAAGC